This 1285-nucleotide unclassified non-coding RNA is filed under the name Hevea brasiliensis (rubber tree). The record is from RNAcentral. Lineage: Eukaryota; Viridiplantae; Streptophyta; Magnoliopsida; Malpighiales; Euphorbiaceae.
GACUCCUCGAACAACUGGGAUGCAAAUUUCUGAAAGAAAUCCUAUGCCACUGUCUGAACGUGAAAAAAUGCAAAAUCCGGACACUGAAUCUCAAUACAUGAAAGAUCAACAGAAUCAACAGACUCUGGGCAUGGAGCAACCUGGCAACCUUAAGAAUCAAGCCAAGCAGAUACCAUUUGUGUUAUUGUUGCCUGCCUUAAAGCCCCAUCUUGAUAAAGACAGAGAGAUGCAACUUCAGACUCUGUUUAAUAAAUUGAGGAAAAAUGAUAUCGCGAAAGAACAAUUUGUCAGGGAGAAAUAUUGUAGGGGACCAAGUGCUAAGGUUGGCGGUAGCUCAAUUGCAGUCACAGCCAGGUUCCAACCAAUCCCAGUUACAGUCUCAAGCUUUUGCACGCCAACACAAUGUGAGAAUGCCUGUCAGUGCUAGUGCCUCUUCGGCAGUCCAAGCUCUGGCUGAUUCUAGCUACCCAUCUGCCGAAAAUAAUGCUCAGAAAUCUCGAGAGGUGGAACGUCAGCCAGAUUCUCAUGGAAUGCAAGUAAGCAAAAUGCCUUCCUCCACUGCUAGCAUAGUCAAUCAAGAUAGAGAGCGCUCUUCAAUUUCUGUUCCAGGACAUAGCAAGCAGCAGCAACAUUUGCAUUUUCCACCGACUUCCUUUCCAAUGUAUGGAAGUAAUAGUGCUACUUAUCACCCUUAUUCUGGAACAAAUGUCAAUACUUCAGGAUCUUCCAUGAAGCCACAAUCUCAUGAUUUGCAAAUGAGGCAAAUUUCACAUCAAACCAUGGGCACAACACAAAUAGGAGGUUCAACCCAGGCAAUGAACAUGAUGAAUGUGCCGAAAUUUGAGAGGCAAAAUUCUGUUGCUGAUCCUAACAGAGUGCAGAGUGGUUCUAUUUCCCAAUAUACAAACAAAUCAGCAUUGCAACAAAGUUCAGUUCCAUGGCAAGCACCAAUGAAUAAAGAGCAAAGUUCUGCCCCUUUCUUAUCAACAAAUUAUGUAAAACAAGAACCAGUUGAACAGGCUGUUGAGCAGCAGCAGAAAUCUCAGUUGUCUAACCCUCAGGGUUUGUCUGCCACAACUGUUGAGCAGGGCNNNNNNNNNGCCAGGAAAUUCAAAGGAUGUCUCUUUAGAAAAGCAGUCUGCAAAAGUUGGUUUCUCUGCACCCAUUGGUUUGGCACCCUCAAAUUCAGUUUCUCCUUCCAUUUCAACUCCAUUGGAGCCAAAUGUCCAGGUAGGCUCUCGAAUCCCAUCUGUAGCUGCUUCUGCUGGAGUUAAUGCAAGAACAC